RNAcentral lists this ribosomal RNA (466 nucleotides) under uncultured bacterium. RNAcentral's name for it is "partial 16S ribosomal RNA". It matches the Rfam family "Bacterial small subunit ribosomal RNA", at positions 28 to 507 of the family's 1533-position model. The record is from RNAcentral.
GACGAACGCUGGCGGCGCGCCUAACACAUGCAAGUCGAACGAGCGAGCGAGAGCUUGCUUUCUUGAGCGAGUGGCGAACGGGUGAGUAACGCGUGAGGAACCUGCCUCAAAGAGGGGGACAACAGUUGGAAACGACUGCUAAUACCGCAUAAGCCCACGACCCGGCAUCGGGUUGAGGGAAAAGGAGCAAUCCGCUUUGAGAUGGCCUCGCGUCCGAUUAGCUAGUUGGUGAGGUAACGGCCCACCAAGGCGACGAUCGGUAGCCGGACUGAGAGGUUGAACGGCCACAUUGGGACUGAGACACGGCCCAGACUCCUACGGGAGGCAGCAGUGGGGAAUAUUGCACAAUGGGGGAAACCCUGAUGCAGCGACGCCGCGUGGAGGAAGAAGGUCUUCGGAUUGUAAACUCCUGUUGUUGAGGAAGAUAAUGACGGUACUCAACAAGGAAGAGACGGCUAACUACGUG